Molecule: ribosomal RNA, 497 nt
Filed under: uncultured bacterium
Lineage: Bacteria
Description: partial 16S ribosomal RNA
Rfam family: Bacterial small subunit ribosomal RNA
Source: RNAcentral
GAUGAACGCUGGCGGCGUGCCUAAUACAUGCAAGUCGGGCGAACGGACGAGAAGCUUGCUUCUCUGAUGUUAGCGGCGGACGGGUGAGUAACACGUGGAUAACCUACCUAUAAGACUGGGAUAACUUCGGGAAACCGGAGCUAAUACCGGAUAAUAUUUUGAACCGCAUGGUUCAAAAGUGAAAGACGGUCUUGCUGUCACUUAUAGAUGGAUCCGCGCUGCAUUAGCUAGUUGGUAAGGUAACGGCUUACCAAGGCAACGAUGCAUAGCCGACCUGAGAGGGUGAUCGGCCACACUGGAACUGAGACACGGUCCAGACUCCUACGGGAGGCAGCAGUAGGGAAUCUUCCGCAAUGGGCGAAAGCCUGACGGAGCAACGCCGCGUGAGUGAUGAAGGUCUUCGGAUCGUAAAACUCUGUUAUUAGGGAAGAACAUAUGUGUAAGUAACUGUGCACAUCUUGACGGUACCUAAUCAGAAGGCCACGGCUAACUACGUG